This 503-nucleotide ribosomal RNA is filed under the name uncultured bacterium. RNAcentral's name for it is "partial 16S ribosomal RNA". It matches the Rfam family "Bacterial small subunit ribosomal RNA", at positions 30 to 523 of the family's 1533-position model. The record is from RNAcentral.
AUUGAACGCUGGCGGCAGGCUUAACACAUGCAAGUCGAGCGGGGUGAUGGUGCUUGCACUAUCACUUAGCGGCGGAUGGGUGAGUAAUGCUUAGGAAUCUGCCUAUUAGUGGGGGACAACAUCUCGAAAGGGAUGCUAAUACCGCAUACGUCCUACGGGAGAAAGCAGGGGAUCACUUGUGACCUUGCGCUAAUAGAUGAGCCUAAGUCGGAUUAGCUAGUUGGUGGGGUAAAGGCCUACCAAGGCGACGAUCUGUAGCGGGUCUGAGAGGAUGAUCCGCCCCACUGGGACUGAGACACGGCCCAGACUCCUACGGGAGGCAGCAGUGGGGAAUAUUGGACAAUGGGGGGAACCCUGAUCCAGCCAUGCCGCGUGUGUGAAGAAGGCCUUAUGGUUGUAAAGCACUUUAAGCGAGGAGGAGGCUCUUUUGGUUAAUACCCAAGAUGAGUGGACGUUACUCGCAGAAUAAGCACCGGCUAACUCUGUGCCAGCCGCCGCAGUAA